GAGAGAGCUAAAGAGUCUUACUCUGUUGCCCAGGUUGGAGUGCAGUGGCUCUAUCUUAGCUUAUUACAACCUCCACCUCCCAGGUUGAAGUGAUUCUCUUGCCUCAGCCUUCCAAGGAGCUGCGAUUACAGGCUACUCCUGCUGCCGUCUUAUCCUUGGCUCCGUGAUAGAACCCAGAGGUCCUACAACAAAGUCAGUGCUGGGUCAAGGGCAAAGGAUGCUGGGAAAGCUGUGUGUAACAAGCAGCAGAGUUGUUCUAGAAUGAGGUGAUAAUUAUUCUAUAAUUUAUUUUCACAACACAUUUCUUUUGGAGUGUGUGUGUGUGUGUGUGUGUGUGUGUGUGUGUGUGUGUGUGUUUUGGAGAAAAAGUCUCACUUCAUGGCCCAGGCAUGAGUGUAAUGACAUGAUCUAGGUGCAGGGCAACCUCUGCCUCCUGGGUUCAAGCAAUUCUCCUGCCUCAGCCUCCC
RNAcentral lists this long non-coding RNA (467 nucleotides) under Callithrix jacchus (white-tufted-ear marmoset). RNAcentral describes it as "lncRNA (ENSCJAG00000076446.1)". The record is from RNAcentral. Lineage: Eukaryota; Metazoa; Chordata; Mammalia; Primates; Cebidae.